GUCUCCGUGGCGCAAUUGGUUAGCGCGUCUGACUGUUACUUGGCAUCAUCAGGAGGUUGACAGUUCAAUCCUGUCCGGGGACG
Non-coding RNA from Cronartium quercuum f. sp. fusiforme G11, 83 nucleotides. The record is from the annotation of a GenBank genome assembly. Lineage: Eukaryota; Fungi; Basidiomycota; Pucciniomycetes; Pucciniales; Coleosporiaceae.